CUCGGCUCCCGGAGCGCAGGGUCCGGGAGGCGCCGGAGCCUCGCGGACUCCAGGCGUUUCUCCUUUGGGGAGAAGCUGAAAAGGUUCCGGGAAAGGCCGCAGGUUUGCACGGCGAGGUUAAGAGAAAGAACUUGAGCCGUUGAAAGAAAGCUCCUCUCCCUUCUGAGGGCACCAGUGAAAAUCAGACCUUGCCAUAAUGGGUGAGAAGCUCCCCUCUCCUACUAGGCUGAAUGUCGCCGCUCUGGUAGACAGUCUUGGCUGAGCUCCCAGUUGACAGGCAGUGUCAACUGCUGCUAGCCUUGUGAAUGCUUCAUCUUAGACAGCCAUGGCCCCGUUGAGCUCUUGGAUGACAGCGGCACAACCAUCUGACUACAACCACACAGCAACCUUCAGACGAGAACUACCCAGCUAAACCCUUCCCCAAUUCCCGACGUGUAAAAUCGAGAGCAAAAUAAAAUGGCCACAGUAAGCCACUGAGGUCAUUUGUUACAUAGCAUUAGGUCAUUUUGUUACAUAGCAGUAGUAACAAGAGCAUAGGUUUGCUUGGGUAAUUUAUUCUAAUCACAAAGAAAUGUAGCAGUACACUUUCCAGGGGUGGAAUAGAUGGAAUUUAAAUUGUUUUGCAUUUUUAAAAACCUUUCUUCUGAUAGGUUCCUUGUAGAACUCUUAAGCAGAUACAAGGACACAGUCUAGAUUCAAAUACCUGACUCUGGUUCCAAAAUUUGAUUUGGGAAAUAUAGAUCAGAUCUUAUUAAAUCAACCUUAUAGGAACUGUAUGGAUAUUUUAUAAUACUGAAAAUCUCUGUUUUGGUGUUUUUUAUUUUAUUUUAUUUUACAAAACUGGCCUUGAAAAUUUUGUUUCAUUAAACUUAACUUUCACUUAUUCUUUCUAUCUGAAGUUGGAUCAAAGGGGGAAAAAAGAAGGGGGAGAUGAUGAUAAAAAAUGAGGGCAGAACCUUCUUUCUAUCAGUGACUACGAGAACACUGUGUUUUCUCCGAGAGACAGUUAAAGGUCAGUGUUCCUUUCUCAAUCUCUGAGCAGGACUGAUUAAAACAAAGAACACAAGCUUGCCAGAUUAGUGUGGGAAAGGAGAGAACUGAAGCAUAGUUGAAGUUGAGGUGUCCUAGCUAAGGUACCUCAGAAAGCAGAGCCUGAGACAAAGACUUGAAAAUCAGUAUUCGGCUGGAGAAUGUGAAGAAAAGCAAGGAAGAGGGGUAAAAGGCAGGAGGCACCAAUACGGGGAGGUGUUCCCCAAACAUCGCCACCGCCGCGGAUGAAGAUUUCUUUGGUUCCACGAACCAUUAAUCUGGGGGGUGAAAUGGGGCAUUUAUCCAUAGCUCCCAUGUCCCUAGUCAAAAGUUCGCCAACCGUGUUCACUUCUGAGUUAUGCACGGCUGGACUUGGAGUGGUUUCUCAUGGCACCCCCACACUACAGCACUGGAGAGGCCCUGGGGAGGGAAGGGAGAAAAGCAUGUGACACACAACUGUGGAGGCUAUUAGGUCACACCUGGGUGAAUCCGGUCUAAAAAUCUGACUUUCGAAUUUAUUGAGAGUGUAAAUACUUCAUAUUCUUUUUAAAUAUUAAAAGUUAUUUUUAAAA
Molecule: long non-coding RNA, 1601 nt
Organism: Lynx canadensis (Canada lynx)
Lineage: Eukaryota; Metazoa; Chordata; Mammalia; Carnivora; Felidae
Exons: 3
Source: RefSeq, a predicted model, not a curated record